UUUCUAUCGUCAUCGUGUUAAACCAGCCAAUAGCGCGCCAGGUGGAUAAGCCGGUUUGUGAUUGGUCCCCACAAAAUUGUAACGGAAGCAGGAUAGAAUAAUCGUACAGGUUUCCAGUCUGAGCUGCAGAGAGGAAUCAAAUCGCCGGCAGAUCGGGCUGGGUUACCCAGUCUACAUAAAAUCUGCACUUUUUUCUCAUUUUGACUGUUUUCUGUUUAGCAGAAGGAGGUGGAGAGUCUGAGAGUCUGACGGUGUAAACGCGUUUCCUCGCUUCAGGUGUGUUUUUGAAUUUUCCCCAUCUGUGGAAUAUUAUAGUGUUAAGAAAAUAAGAGUUGUGUGUCUGUUUUUUUAUAUUCAGGUCUGCGCUUUUAAUUUGAAAAGUCUGAAGAGUUUCCUGUCAGUAAACUGAAGUUAAACACAGCUGCACGGACGUCAACAAACAAACUGAAAUAUAAAACUCAGCGGGUGGAUGUUUCCGCAUGUUUCUGUGUCUGAGGUGCGUUUGAUUUACAGACUCUGUCGGGCUGUAAAGCGGUGUUACCGUGGAGAUGGGAGGAGGUUUUGUGUGCUGUGCAAUAUUCCUUUUUGUAAAUGUUUAAUUAUUAAUAAAAUGUUUGUAUGUC
Molecule: long non-coding RNA, 623 nt
Organism: Sander lucioperca (pikeperch)
Lineage: Eukaryota; Metazoa; Chordata; Actinopteri; Perciformes; Percidae
Exons: 2
Source: RefSeq, a predicted model, not a curated record